RNAcentral lists this non-coding RNA (23 nucleotides) under Arabidopsis thaliana (thale cress). Lineage: Eukaryota; Viridiplantae; Streptophyta; Magnoliopsida; Brassicales; Brassicaceae. The record is from RNAcentral.
AAAUGGCUUUGACAUCCGAUUGA